RNAcentral lists this unclassified non-coding RNA (241 nucleotides) under uncultured fungus. RNAcentral's name for it is "sequence contains ITS2". The stretch from base 1 to 52 matches the Rfam family "5.8S ribosomal RNA", at positions 103 to 154 of the family's 154-position model. The record is from RNAcentral. Lineage: Eukaryota; Fungi.
AACGCACAUUGCGCCCGCCGGUAUUCCGGUGGGCAUGCCUGUUCGAGCGUCAUUUCAACCCUCAGGCCCUGCCUGGUGUUGGGGUACCACUGCUGUGGGCCCUAAAAUUCAGUGGCGGGCGCGGCCCGGACCCGAGCGUAGUAGCUUACAUCGCUUAGGGUGCCGAGAAGUGUUCUCAGCCAUUAAACCAUCAUUUUACAAGGUUGACCUCGGAUCAGGUAGGAAUACCCGCUGAACUUAA